UUCCGGUAGGUGGUCAUGGUUAUC
RNAcentral lists this non-coding RNA (24 nucleotides) under Mus musculus (house mouse). The record is from RNAcentral. Lineage: Eukaryota; Metazoa; Chordata; Mammalia; Rodentia; Muridae.